CUACGGGGGGCAGCAGUCGAGAAUCUUCCGCAAUGGACGAAAGUCUGACGGAGCGACGCCGCGUGCGGGAUGAAGGCCUUCGGGUUGUAAACCGCUGUCAGUGGGGAGGAAAUGCAUCAGGGUUCUCCCUGGUGUUUGACCGAUCCGCAGAGGAAGCGCAGGCUAAGUUCGUGCCAGCAGCCGCGGUAACACGAACUGCGCGAACGUUAUUCGGAAUCACUGGGCUUAAAGAGUUCGUAGGCGGCCUUUCAAGUCGGGUGUGAAAUCCCUCGGCUCAACCGAGGAAUUGCGCCUGAUACUGUUGGGCUUGAGUGGGAUAGGGGUGAGCGGAACUGAUGGUGGAGCGGUGAAAUGCGUUGAUAUCAUCAGGAACACCGGUGGCGAAGGCGGCUCACUGGAUCUCUUCUGACGCUGAGGAACGAAAGCUAGGGGAGCGAACGGGAUUAGAUACCCCCGUAGUC
This 461-nucleotide ribosomal RNA is filed under the name uncultured bacterium. Its description in RNAcentral is "partial 16S ribosomal RNA". It matches the Rfam family "Bacterial small subunit ribosomal RNA", at positions 339 to 795 of the family's 1533-position model. The record is from RNAcentral.